Molecule: ribosomal RNA, 376 nt
Filed under: uncultured bacterium
Lineage: Bacteria
Description: bacterial SSU rRNA
Rfam family: Bacterial small subunit ribosomal RNA
Source: RNAcentral
UACGUAGGUGGCAAGCGUUGUCCGGAUUCAUUGGGCGUAAAGCGCACGCAGGCGGUUCGUUAAGUCCAGGGUGAAAUCUCCCGGCUCAACUGGGAGGGGUCUUUGGAUACUGGCGGACUUGAGUGCAUCAGAGGAGAGCGGAAUUCCCGGUGUAGUGGUGAAAUGCGUAGAUAUCGGGAGGAACACCAGUGGCGAAGGCGGCUCUCUGGGGUGUGACUGACGCUGAGGUGCGAAAGCGUGGGGAGCGAACCGGAUUAGAUACCCGGGUAGUCCACGCUGUAAACGAUGGACACUAGGUGUGGGGGGUAUCGACCCCCUCCGUGCCGCAGCUAACGCAAUAAGUGUCCCGCCUGGGGACUACGGCCGCAAGGCUAAA